RNAcentral lists this ribosomal RNA (406 nucleotides) under uncultured bacterium. RNAcentral describes it as "partial 16S ribosomal RNA". It matches the Rfam family "Bacterial small subunit ribosomal RNA", at positions 29 to 526 of the family's 1533-position model. The record is from RNAcentral.
AUUGAACGCUGGCGGCAGGCCUAACACAUGCAAGUCGAACGAGUGGCGGACGGGUGAGUAAUGUCUGGGAAACUGCCCGAUGGAGGGGGAUAACUACUGGAAACGGUAGCUAAUACCGCAUACCAUCAGAUGUGCCCAGAUGGGAUUAGCUAGUUGGUGGGGUAACGGCUCACAAAGGCGACGAUCCCUCGCUGGUCUGAGAGGAUGACCAGCCACACGGGAACGGAGACGCGGACCAGACUCCUACGGGAGGCAGCGUUGGGGAAUAGUGCACAAUGGGCGCAAGCCUGGUGCAGCCAUGCCGCGUGUAUGAAGAAGGCCUUCGGGUUGUAAAGUACUUUCAGCGGGGAGGCGUUACCCGCAGAAGAAGCACCGGCUAACUCCGUGCCAGCCGCCGCGGUAAUAC